RNAcentral lists this ribosomal RNA (484 nucleotides) under uncultured bacterium. Its description in RNAcentral is "partial 16S ribosomal RNA". It matches the Rfam family "Bacterial small subunit ribosomal RNA", at positions 30 to 507 of the family's 1533-position model. The record is from RNAcentral.
AUUGAACGCUGGCGGAAUGCUUUACACAUGCCAGUCGAACGGCAGCACGGGGGCAACCCUGGUGGCGAGUGGCGAACGGGUGAGUAAUACAUCGGAACGUGCCCGGUCGUGGGGGAUAACGUAGCGAAAGUUACGCUAAUACCGCAUACGAUCUGAGGAUGAAAGCGGGGGACCUUCGGGCCUCGCGCGAUCGGAGCGGCCGAUGUCAGAUUAGGUAGUUGGUGGGGUAAAGGCCUACCAAGCCGACGAUCUGUAGCUGGUCUGAGAGGACGACCAGCCACACUGGGACUGAGACACGGCCCAGACUCCUACGGGAGGCAGCAGUGGGGAAUUUUGGACAAUGGGCGCAAGCCUGAUCCAGCCAUUCCGCGUGCAGGACGAAGGCCUUCGGGUUGUAAACUGCUUUUGUAUGGAACGAAAAGGCUCUGGCUAAUACCUGGGGCUCAUGACGGUACCGUAAGAGUAAGCACCGGCUAACUACGUG